RNAcentral lists this transfer RNA (68 nucleotides) under Marmota monax (woodchuck). Its description in RNAcentral is "tRNA.Ala". The record is from RNAcentral. Lineage: Eukaryota; Metazoa; Chordata; Mammalia; Rodentia; Sciuridae.
AGUGUAUAGUUCAGUGGUAGAGUGCUUCCCUAGCAUGUAUGAGGUCUUGGGUUCCAUACCCAGCACUG